This 2921-nucleotide ribosomal RNA is filed under the name Staphylococcus aureus. RNAcentral's name for it is "bacterial LSU rRNA". It matches the Rfam family "Bacterial large subunit ribosomal RNA". The record is from RNAcentral. RNAcentral also lists the same sequence under 111 other names. Lineage: Bacteria; Bacillati; Bacillota; Bacilli; Caryophanales; Staphylococcaceae.
UUAAGUUAUUAAGGGCGCACGGUGGAUGCCUUGGCACUAGAAGCCGAUGAAGGACGUUACUAACGACGAUAUGCUUUGGGGAGCUGUAAGUAAGCUUUGAUCCAGAGAUUUCCGAAUGGGGAAACCCAGCAUGAGUUAUGUCAUGUUAUCGAUAUGUGAAUACAUAGCAUAUCAGAAGGCACACCCGGAGAACUGAAACAUCUUAGUACCCGGAGGAAGAGAAAGAAAAUUCGAUUCCCUUAGUAGCGGCGAGCGAAACGGGAAGAGCCCAAACCAACAAGCUUGCUUGUUGGGGUUGUAGGACACUCUAUACGGAGUUACAAAGGACGACAUUAGACGAAUCAUCUGGAAAGAUGAAUCAAAGAAGGUAAUAAUCCUGUAGUCGAAAAUGUUGUCUCUCUUGAGUGGAUCCUGAGUACGACGGAGCACGUGAAAUUCCGUCGGAAUCUGGGAGGACCAUCUCCUAAGGCUAAAUACUCUCUAGUGACCGAUAGUGAACCAGUACCGUGAGGGAAAGGUGAAAAGCACCCCGGAAGGGGAGUGAAAUAGAACCUGAAACCGUGUGCUUACAAGUAGUCAGAGCCCGUUAAUGGGUGAUGGCGUGCCUUUUGUAGAAUGAACCGGCGAGUUACGAUUUGAUGCAAGGUUAAGCAGUAAAUGUGGAGCCGUAGCGAAAGCGAGUCUGAAUAGGGCGUUUAGUAUUUGGUCGUAGACCCGAAACCAGGUGAUCUACCCUUGGUCAGGUUGAAGUUCAGGUAACACUGAAUGGAGGACCGAACCGACUUACGUUGAAAAGUGAGCGGAUGAACUGAGGGUAGCGGAGAAAUUCCAAUCGAACCUGGAGAUAGCUGGUUCUCUCCGAAAUAGCUUUAGGGCUAGCCUCAAGUGAUGAUUAUUGGAGGUAGAGCACUGUUUGGACGAGGGGCCCCUCUCGGGUUACCGAAUUCAGACAAACUCCGAAUGCCAAUUAAUUUAACUUGGGAGUCAGAACAUGGGUGAUAAGGUCCGUGUUCGAAAGGGAAACAGCCCAGACCACCAGCUAAGGUCCCAAAAUAUAUGUUAAGUGGAAAAGGAUGUGGCGUUGCCCAGACAACUAGGAUGUUGGCUUAGAAGCAGCCAUCAUUUAAAGAGUGCGUAAUAGCUCACUAGUCGAGUGACACUGCGCCGAAAAUGUACCGGGGCUAAACAUAUUACCGAAGCUGUGGAUUGUCCUUUGGACAAUGGUAGGAGAGCGUUCUAAGGGCGUUGAAGCAUGAUCGUAAGGACAUGUGGAGCGCUUAGAAGUGAGAAUGCCGGUGUGAGUAGCGAAAGACGGGUGAGAAUCCCGUCCACCGAUUGACUAAGGUUUCCAGAGGAAGGCUCGUCCGCUCUGGGUUAGUCGGGUCCUAAGCUGAGGCCGACAGGCGUAGGCGAUGGAUAACAGGUUGAUAUUCCUGUACCACCUAUAAUCGUUUUAAUCGAUGGGGGGACGCAGUAGGAUAGGCGAAGCGUGCGAUUGGAUUGCACGUCUAAGCAGUAAGGCUGAGUAUUAGGCAAAUCCGGUACUCAUUAAGGCUGAGCUGUGAUGGGGAGAAGACAUUGUGUCUUCGAGUCGUUGAUUUCACACUGCCGAGAAAAGCCUCUAGAUAGAAAAUAGGUGCCCGUACCGCAAACCGACACAGGUAGUCAAGAUGAGAAUUCUAAGGUGAGCGAGCGAACUCUCGUUAAGGAACUCGGCAAAAUGACCCCGUAACUUCGGGAGAAGGGGUGCUCUUUAGGGUUAACGCCCAGAAGAGCCGCAGUGAAUAGGCCCAAGCGACUGUUUAUCAAAAACACAGGUCUCUGCUAAACCGUAAGGUGAUGUAUAGGGGCUGACGCCUGCCCGGUGCUGGAAGGUUAAGAGGAGUGGUUAGCUUCUGCGAAGCUACGAAUCGAAGCCCCAGUAAACGGCGGCCGUAACUAUAACGGUCCUAAGGUAGCGAAAUUCCUUGUCGGGUAAGUUCCGACCCGCACGAAAGGCGUAACGAUUUGGGCACUGUCUCAACGAGAGACUCGGUGAAAUCAUAGUACCUGUGAAGAUGCAGGUUACCCGCGACAGGACGGAAAGACCCCGUGGAGCUUUACUGUAGCCUGAUAUUGAAAUUCGGCACAGCUUGUACAGGAUAGGUAGGAGCCUUUGAAACGUGAGCGCUAGCUUACGUGGAGGCGCUGGUGGGAUACUACCCUAGCUGUGUUGGCUUUCUAACCCGCACCACUUAUCGUGGUGGGAGACAGUGUCAGGCGGGCAGUUUGACUGGGGCGGUCGCCUCCUAAAAGGUAACGGAGGCGCUCAAAGGUUCCCUCAGAAUGGUUGGAAAUCAUUCAUAGAGUGUAAAGGCAUAAGGGAGCUUGACUGCGAGACCUACAAGUCGAGCAGGGUCGAAAGACGGACUUAGUGAUCCGGUGGUUCCGCAUGGAAGGGCCAUCGCUCAACGGAUAAAAGCUACCCCGGGGAUAACAGGCUUAUCUCCCCCAAGAGUUCACAUCGACGGGGAGGUUUGGCACCUCGAUGUCGGCUCAUCGCAUCCUGGGGCUGUAGUCGGUCCCAAGGGUUGGGCUGUUCGCCCAUUAAAGCGGUACGCGAGCUGGGUUCAGAACGUCGUGAGACAGUUCGGUCCCUAUCCGUCGUGGGCGUAGGAAAUUUGAGAGGAGCUGUCCUUAGUACGAGAGGACCGGGAUGGACAUACCUCUGGUGUACCAGUUGUCGUGCCAACGGCAUAGCUGGGUAGCUAUGUGUGGACGGGAUAAGUGCUGAAAGCAUCUAAGCAUGAAGCCCCCCUCAAGAUGAGAUUUCCCAACUUCGGUUAUAAGAUCCCUCAAAGAUGAUGAGGUUAAUAGGUUCGAGGUGGAAGCAUGGUGACAUGUGGAGCUGACGAAUACUAAUCGAUCGAAGACUUAAUCAA